GGUACGAUGCGCCUGAUCCACGUUCGCAAGGACGCGAGUAUCGGAGUGUAUCUGCCAUCCUUCUAGUUAGCUGGCUGUACUUAACUGUGUGGUCAGUGAUCUAGAUCAUUUACUUUGAAAAAAUUAGAGUGUUUAAAGCAGGCUUGCGCUAUGAAUACAUUAGCAUGGAAUAAUAAUUUAGGACUUUGCUUCUAUUUUAUUGGUUUCUAGGGGUGAAGUA
Molecule: ribosomal RNA, 220 nt
Filed under: uncultured fungus
Lineage: Eukaryota; Fungi
Description: partial small subunit ribosomal RNA
Rfam family: Eukaryotic small subunit ribosomal RNA (bases 71-220)
Source: RNAcentral